GGGGAAUAUUGGACAAUGGGCGAAAGCCUGAUCCAGCCAUGCCGCGUGUGUGAAGAAGGCCUUUUGGUUGUAAAGCACUUUAAGCGAGGAGGAGGCUACUUGGAUUAAUACUCUAGGAUAGUGGACGUUACUCGCAGAAUAAGCACCGGCUAACUCUGUGCCAGCAGCCGCGGUAAUACAGAGGGUGCGAGCGUUAAUCGGAUUUACUGGGCGUAAAGCGUGCGUAGGCGGCUUUUUAAGUCGGAUGUGAAAUCCCUGAGCUUAACUUAGGAAUUGCAUUCGAUACUGGGAAGCUAGAGUAUGGGAGAGGAUGGUAGAAUUCCAGGUGUAGCGGUGAAAUGCGUAGAGAUCUGGAGGAAUACCGAUGGCGAAGGCAGCCAUCUGGCCUAAUACUGACGCUGAGGUACGAAAGCAUGGGGAGCAAACAGGAUUAGAUACCCUGGUAGUCCAUGCCGUAAACGAUGUCUACUAGCCGUUGGGGCCUUUGAGGCUUUAGUGGCGCAGCUAACGCGAUAAGUAGACCGCCUGGGGAGUACGGUCGCAAGACUAAAACUCAAAUGAAUUGACGGGGGCCCGCACAAGCGGUGGAGCAUGUGGUUUAA
RNAcentral lists this ribosomal RNA (602 nucleotides) under uncultured bacterium. RNAcentral describes it as "bacterial SSU rRNA". It matches the Rfam family "Bacterial small subunit ribosomal RNA", at positions 356 to 949 of the family's 1533-position model. The record is from RNAcentral.